AAAAUUAUAUUUAAUCCUUAAUCAGUUUGCAAAUAUAGUUAACAACAGUUUGACUAUAAUUACAUUACACUAUAAAAACUAAAUGGUUGGGGCCUGAUGCUCAGCUUGCUACUGUUAUUUAGAAAGAUGUUGUCUAUUGAAGAUUGUUAAGUUCUUCUAUUUGUUUGCUGUUUUUUUUUUCUCUUUUUUUUGGUAUUUAUACGGGGUUUAAAACAAAAAAAAAUUAAAAUUACAAACUACAUCACAAUCUUUUGAAGUAUUCGAACUCCUCUAGCAUCAUCACCAAUAAUUUGCACUAAUUCUCUAGGAGGUUGAUCAACCAGGUUGUAUCCUAAAGUAGCUUUAAGACUGUACUUUGACAUCCAGUCCGCAGCUUUAUUCCCAUCCCUAUAUGUAUGAGGUUGAUCAACCAGGUUCUAAACUCCUCUAUGCUUCUAACAAGCAUAUUUGGGUGCUUUUCAUUUCUCUCCCCUUGCUAAAUAACUUCCACCAAAGCUUGAGAGUUCAAAUCUAAGAUCACUUUCCUAAAACCCAGGACCCAGACUGUUUGCAAUUUCUGAAAAACACUCCAUAAUUCUGCUUGAAACGUCGUGCAUGUCCCUAUGUUCAUCACAAAAUUCACGACCCAUCUUCCCUGAUCAUCUCUGCACACUCCGCUGCAUCCUGUCUCUCCAUCUAUCCCCUCUAAUGCUCUAUUUGUAUUCACCUUUAUCCAACUUGGCGGUGGUGGGAUCCAAGAUAUAUUCAUAUCCACCAUUUUAUUUCGAGUAGAUAUUUCUCCUCUUCUUCCACCAACAGGUUGUGAUGAAGAGAGAUUGCCACUUUUCUUAGUUUUGGAAGCCUAUGUUCGAUGAAAGAUUCUAUCUAAUCUAGUGAGCAAAGGGAGAUCUGAAGAAUUCUUGAAAGUUGAAAGGAUGUAUCAGAUUAGUCCACACCCUUGACGCAACUCCACAAUAGUGCAAAACAUGAAUUUGGAAUUUUUUUUUGUAUAUUUUCACAAUGGUGACAAUCAAGUUCUGUUCCAAGCAUCUUGCUUCUUUUACUUGUUGUUAGAAUCUUUUUACGAGUUUCUUGCCAAAGAAAAUAUUUCAUUUUUUGUGGCCCCUGCCAUUUUCAAAUAAUACUCUAAAUUUGAUCUUGUACAUUGUUUUGAGUAAUUAGGUGCAUAUAGGCACUCUUAGUUGAAAGUCCCCAUCUUGGGUGAGGUUCCAUAUUACUUGGUCUUUUCCUAUAGCUUCAUUAGGGGGAAGGACAACUGUGAUUUUGCUAACAAUAUUCUAGGAAAAAAAAUUGCUUAAUGCUCAUUAGAACCUAGUUACCCUCUUUGUUAAUAUAAUCACCUUCUAAUUCAAUUAUGUCUCUGUCAGUUGAGUUGUAGUUUUCAUUAGUUACCAUUAGUAACCAUGGCACCAAAGUAUCUGCCAAGGCUAGGUGUCUUUUGAAAUUCACAUUUUUGAAUGAUAUUUUUUUUAGUAUUCAUGUCUACAUUCUAUGAGAAAACAAUAGAAGUCUUCAUAGAAUUAAUUUUCAAGCCCAAGACCAUACAAAAGUUAUCAAGUUUACCUUUCACCAUUUUAAUUUGUUCACUCAAUGCUUCUACAAAGAAAAUUAAAUCGUCCACAAACAGAAGAUGUGCUAUGGGAAGCCCAUGCCUUCUAGCUAUCAUUAGCUUACAUUUUUGUCUGUUAACACUGUCUUCUAUAAUUUGUGACAAUUUGUUUGUGGCAAUAAAAAAUAAGUAGGGAAAAUAGGAUCCCUUAUCUUGACCUCUUUAUAGGAGUAAAUUCUUCCGUUUUGCAAUCAUUCUAUAAUAUCUUAAAUGAUGCAGUGAAAACAAAUUCCAUGAUGACCUUGAGAAUAUGCCCUGUCACACCAAACUCCUCCAAACUCUUAUGAAUAAAUUCCUAUCAUAA
Non-coding RNA from Arachis ipaensis, 1913 nucleotides. The record is from RefSeq and is a predicted model, not a curated record. NCBI's taxonomy places the organism in Eukaryota, Viridiplantae, Streptophyta, Magnoliopsida, Fabales, Fabaceae.